RNAcentral lists this ribosomal RNA (298 nucleotides) under uncultured bacterium. RNAcentral describes it as "partial 16S ribosomal RNA". It matches the Rfam family "Bacterial small subunit ribosomal RNA", at positions 334 to 649 of the family's 1533-position model. The record is from RNAcentral.
UGUACCUACGGGGCGCAGCAGUGGGGGAUAUUGCACAAUGGGGGGAACCCUGAUGCAGCGACGCCGCGUGGGUGAAGGAGCGUUUCGGCGCGUAAAGCCCUAUCGGCAGGGAAGAAGAUGACGGUACCUGACCAAGAAGCCCCGGCUAACUACGUGCCAGCAGCCGCGGUAAUACGUAGGGGGCAAGCGUUAUCCGGAUUUACUGGGUGUAAAGGGGGCGCAGACGGCAAUGGAAGCCAGGAGUGAAAGCCCGGGGCCCAACACCGGGAAUGGUCUUGGAACUGCAUGGCUGGUGAAA